RNAcentral lists this non-coding RNA (27 nucleotides) under Mus musculus (house mouse). The record is from RNAcentral. Lineage: Eukaryota; Metazoa; Chordata; Mammalia; Rodentia; Muridae.
UACCUGGAAGUUUUUUCUGGCAUGGGC